AACGCGAAGAACCUUACCUGGGCUUGAACCGCGCAGGACCAUCUUUGGAAACAGAGACUUCCCGCAAGGGACCUGUGUAGAGGUGCUGCAUGGCUGUCGUCAGCUCGUGCCGUGAGGUGUUGGGUUAAGUCCCGCAACGAGCGCAACCCUUACUCAUAGUUGCCACCCGCAAGGGGGAACUCUAUGAGGACUGCUCCGGAUAACGGAGAGGAAGGUGGGGAUGAGGUCAAGUCAGCAUGGCCUUUAUGUCCAGGGCUACACACGUGUUACAAUGCGCGCCACAAAGCGUUGCAAACCCGCGAGGGGGAGCUAAUCGCAAAAAAGCGCGCUCAGUUCGGAUUGCAGUCUGCAACUCGACUGCAUGAAGCCGGAAUCGCUAGUAAUGGCGCAUCAGAACGGCGCCGUGAAUACGUUCCCGGGCCUUGUA
Molecule: ribosomal RNA, 427 nt
Filed under: uncultured Acidobacteriota bacterium
Lineage: Bacteria; Pseudomonadati; Acidobacteriota
Description: bacterial SSU rRNA
Rfam family: Bacterial small subunit ribosomal RNA
Source: RNAcentral